RNAcentral lists this ribosomal RNA (424 nucleotides) under uncultured bacterium. RNAcentral describes it as "bacterial SSU rRNA". It matches the Rfam family "Bacterial small subunit ribosomal RNA", at positions 202 to 622 of the family's 1533-position model. The record is from RNAcentral.
AAAGACCUGGCGUUAUUCGAGCGGCCGACGUCUGAUUAGCUAGUUGGUGAGGUAAAGGCUCACCAAGGCGACGAUCAGUAGCGGGUCUGAGAGGAUGAUCCGCCACACUGGGACUGAGACACGGCCCAGACUCCUACGGGAGGCCGCAGUGGGGAAUUUUGGACAAUGGGGGCAACCCUGAUCCAGCCAUGCCGCGUGUCUGAAGAAGGCCUUCGGGUUGUAAAGGACUUUUGUUAGGGAGCAAGUCCUGCAGGUUAAGAGCCAGUAGGGAUGAGAGUACCUAAAGAAUAAGCACCGGCUAACUACGUGCCAGCAGCCGCGGUAAUACGUAGGGUGCAAGCGUUAAUCGGAAUUACUGGGCGUAAAGGGUGCGCAGGCGGUAUUGUAAGCCAGAUGUGAAAUCCCCGGGCUCAACCUGGGAACU